GAUAACCUACGGGAGGCAGCAGUAGGGAAUCUUCCACAAUGGACGAAAGUCUGAUGGAGCAACGCCGCGUGAGUGAAGAAGGGUUUCGGCUCGUAAAGCUCUGUUGGUAGUGAAGAAAGAUAGAGGUAGUAACUGGCCUUUAUUUGACGGUAAUUACUUAGAAAGUCACGGCUAACUACGUGCCAGCAGCCGCGGUAAUACGUAGGUGGCAAGCGUUGCCCGGAUUUAUUGGGCGUAAAGCGAGUGCAGGCGGUUCAAUAAGGCUGAUGUG
RNAcentral lists this ribosomal RNA (271 nucleotides) under uncultured bacterium. RNAcentral describes it as "partial 16S ribosomal RNA". It matches the Rfam family "Bacterial small subunit ribosomal RNA", at positions 333 to 596 of the family's 1533-position model. The record is from RNAcentral.